UAAUUGUUGCAGAGUCGACUGCAAAUUUGUAACGGCUUUUUAAUCCAGUGCAGUUUGGAUUUGAUGACGAGUGCGCCGGCCGAUCACAGCAGGCUUCGAGUGGGAAAGAGUUCUUUUUUUUCGGGCCUACUGCGAUGACUAUCGAACUACGGCAGUGGCGAAGGGCCAGUCGCUGAGACCACCGUUGAGGUGGUCGGGGACACCGCCAUCAUCGAGUGGAGCAUUACCAGCGACAGCCAUGGAAACGAGUAAGAAUAAAAAUAACAAAUAUUUUUAUGUUUUUAUUAUGCUUAAGGAUGUUCGAGACCUUCUGGUUCGGUUUUUUUUUCGUCCGUCUCUCCGAUACCGGGACCGGAAUUCAGCGAAGAAAGUGUGUGUAAUGAAAUCACGAUGAGCGUGGAAGGACCCGUUGCGGCACAGUACGCAGAAGAGAGGACAGUGACGGUAAAAUUUUACCGUUUUCGUUACUUUUCUUCACUUCAGAAAUUAACCUUUUUAUUGCUUUUUGAUAUCAAGAAACUUCUCAGCCAGAAACAGAGGCGGAAAGUGAAAUCCGGCUUUCGGGAAGAAACCGGCGGGCUGCACGUGAAACGAGACGUAAUAAAGAUUUAGAGACUUCCUGCUCCUCGCAUCCGGAGGAGAAGGAGAAGGAGGACAACGUUGCCACGGAAAAAAAGAUUUACGCUGAGAGAGAGAGAGGUAAGCGCAGGAUCUUGAUUAAAGUUUUACGAACGGAAGAACGAUUACUGCAGCGCAGGAAGUGCUGCGGAUGGCAAUUGAAUUACAAGUUGGUCACAGCACACAAGUUGCGAGGCGUAUACGAAGGCAAACGAGAUAACUCAGGUGUUAC
Armigeres subalbatus is the source of this 850-nucleotide long non-coding RNA. RefSeq lists it as uncharacterized. The transcript has 3 exons. NCBI's taxonomy places the organism in Eukaryota, Metazoa, Arthropoda, Insecta, Diptera, Culicidae. The record is from RefSeq and is a predicted model, not a curated record.